UCGGGAAUUUUGGGCAAUGGGCGAAAGCCUGACCCAGCAACGCCGCGUGAAGGAUGAAGUAUUUCGGUAUGUAAACUUCGAAAGAAUGGGAAGAAUCAAUGACGGUACUAUUUGUAAGGUCCGGCUAACUACGUGCCAGCAGCCGCGGUAAUACGUAGGGACCAAGCGUUGUUCGGAUUUACUGGGCGUAAAGGGCGCGUAGGCGGCGUGGUAAGUCACUUGUGAAAUCUCCGAGCUUAACUCGGAACGGUCAACUGAUACUGUCAAACUAGAGUACAGAAGGGGCAAUCGGAAUUCUUGGUGUAGCGGUGAAAUGCGUAGAUAUCAAGAGGAACACCUGAGGCGAAGGCGGGUUGCUGGGCUGACACUGACGCUGAGGCGCGAAAGCCAGGGGAGCAAACGGGAUUAGAUACCCAUGUAGUCCCUGAGCGGGCUGGCAAGGCGCAU
Molecule: ribosomal RNA, 447 nt
Filed under: uncultured bacterium
Lineage: Bacteria
Description: bacterial SSU rRNA
Rfam family: Bacterial small subunit ribosomal RNA
Source: RNAcentral